Molecule: small nuclear RNA, 20 nt
Filed under: Arabidopsis thaliana (thale cress)
Lineage: Eukaryota; Viridiplantae; Streptophyta; Magnoliopsida; Brassicales; Brassicaceae
Description: snRNA_14842
Source: RNAcentral
GAAAAUAGUCAUCAACCAAA